AAAGUACUCCCUCCGUCCCAAAAUUCUUGUCUUAGAUUUGUCUAGAUACGGAUGUAUCAAAUCACAUUUUAGUAUUAGAUACAUCCGUAUCUAGACAAAUCUAAGACAAGAAAUUUGGGACAGAGGGAGUAGUUG
Triticum aestivum (bread wheat) is the source of this 135-nucleotide non-coding RNA. NCBI's taxonomy places the organism in Eukaryota, Viridiplantae, Streptophyta, Magnoliopsida, Poales, Poaceae. The record is from Rfam.